CAUACGCCCUGAGGGGGAAAGUGGGGGACCGCAAGGCCUCACGUUAUUCGAGCGGCCGACGUCUGAUUAGCUAGUUGGUGGGGUAAAGGCCUACCAAGGCGACGAUCAGUAGCGGGUCUGAGAGGAUGAUCCGCCACACUGGGACUGAGACACGGCCCAGACUCCUACGGGAGGCAGCAGUGGGGAAUUUUGGACAAUGGGGGCAACCCUGAUCCAGCCAUUCCGCGUGAGUGAAGAAGGCCUUCGGGUUGUAAAGCUCUUUCAGCUGGAACGAAACGGUACGCGCUAACAUCGUGUGCGAAUGACGGUACCGGCAGAAGAAGCACCGGCUAACUACGUGCCAGCAGCCGCGGUAAUACGUAGGGUGCGAGCGUUAAUCGGAAUUACUGGGCGUAAAGCGUGCGCAGGCGGAUUGUUAAGCAAGACGUGAAAUCCCCGGGCUUAACCUGGGAAUGGCGUUUUGAACUGGCAGUCUAGAGUGCGUCAGAGGGGGGUGGAAUUCCACGUGUAGCAGUGAAAUGCGUAGAGAUGUGGAGGAACACCGAUGGCGAAGGCAGCCCCCUGGGAUGACACUGACGCUCAUGUACGAAAGCGUGGGUAGCAAACA
Molecule: ribosomal RNA, 607 nt
Filed under: uncultured bacterium
Lineage: Bacteria
Description: bacterial SSU rRNA
Rfam family: Bacterial small subunit ribosomal RNA
Source: RNAcentral